CUAUUGUUAAGACGUUAGUAUGAAAGCUAAGACAAAACCAAGGAAUGAUAUUGAUAUAUUAGUAUCAGCAAAACUUCAUAUUUUACUCAGAUUUUCUUAGUUUUUAUCUAAUGUUUUCUUCUUUUUCAGGAUUCCAUCCAAGACACCAUAUUACAUAUUAUCGUGCCUUCUUAGGAUUGUCUUAGCUGUGAUGUUUCCUCUGAUUUCAUUGAUACAGGAUUUUGUGUUUUAAGGAAUAUGGGACAGAUGUGUACUGUCAACAUUAGUUAUCACAAUUGAUACCAACCAUCUUCAGCUGACUGAGGUACCGCCGAUGAAACCCUGCUUUACUUACCCUUUUAGCCAUUUGUAAAUUUUCAUGGCCGUGGGACAGACAAGCACCCCAUCUUUAGCUGAACUUAGGAAAAGUCCUGCAACAUUUUUGGUGCCCAACAUGGAACUCAAGAAGCGAUGAAAGCUGUAUAAUGGAGGAAAAAACUGAACUAAGGCAAGAAUAUGAGCAAAAAGAAAGAAGAACCAAAAUUACAGGUAGGUAACCAUGGUCCAAGUGAGGUACUGAGGGAUGAGUGAUGAAUCUAUUGAGGAAUCCACAAGAGGAAGCGUGGGUGCUGUAAAAUAAGGAAGCCAAUGUUUGGCAAAGAUCAACCCCCAAGGAAUUUGGAGUCUCAUGGAAAGUGUAGGUGGGGGUGCAUUUUGCUCCCAUCACCCGUGUGUCACACUGCUGACUUCUGACUUGUUGGGGAGAUCCCUUGCAAUCCCUGUGGGCAGGAAUCCGGGAACUUGGGAGUAGAACCAGCUGUACAGUCUUUCUCAUUCUCACCCCAGACCAGAGUGGAGGCACCAUACGGUUGCGCACCUGCUGUGGGUCUCUAUUCUUCCCAUAGAGUCUAAUCCCUUGUAUCUACACACCACUAGAUUCCAUGCAAACAUUCCCUGCAAUCCACAAAGGACUGGUAGGAUCCUGGGGAGCUGUGAGAUUUCUGGAGGUCUAACUUGUGGGGCAAGAUGCCUCUGGCAAACGGGAGAACAUGAAUUGCCAAAGUGCCCUUGAGAAAAGGCAACCAGAUUUUACACUCUGUACCCGAGAGCUCCAUACUUGUGAGCAGAAGGUGACUGUGCCCUCCCCCUGCAGAGACACAGGAGCAGUGUGAAGUUCUUUGGGGAAGAGGGUGGUUUUGUCUCAGUGGCUAGGCAGCACUGGUGCCUGGAAAUUUAUGAGGAGAUGGAA
Molecule: long non-coding RNA, 1228 nt
Organism: Callithrix jacchus (white-tufted-ear marmoset)
Lineage: Eukaryota; Metazoa; Chordata; Mammalia; Primates; Cebidae
Source: RefSeq, a predicted model, not a curated record